AUUGAACGCUGGCGGCAUGCCUUACACAUGCAAGUCGAACGGUAACGCGGGGCAACCUGGCGACGAGUGGCGAACGGGUGAGUAAUGCAUCGGAACGUACCCAGUAGUGGGGGAUAGCCCGGCGAAAGCCGGAUUAAUACCGCAUACGACCUACGGGUGAAAGGGGGGGAUCGCAAGACCUCUCGCUAUUGGAGCGGCCGAUGUCAGAUUAGGUAGUUGGUGGGGUAAAAGCCUACCAAGCCUGUGAUCUGUAGCUGGUCUGAGAGGACGACCAGCCACACUGGGACUGAGACACGGCCCAGACUCCUACGGGAGGCAGCAGUGGGGAAUUUUGGACAAUGGGCGCAAGCCUGAUCCAGCAAUGCCGCGUGCGGGAAGAAGGCCU
RNAcentral lists this ribosomal RNA (385 nucleotides) under uncultured bacterium. RNAcentral's name for it is "bacterial SSU rRNA". It matches the Rfam family "Bacterial small subunit ribosomal RNA", at positions 29 to 417 of the family's 1533-position model. The record is from RNAcentral.